GAUGAACGCUGGCGGCGUGCCUAAUACAUGCGAGUCGAGCGAACGGACGAGAAGCUUGCUUUUCUGAUGUUAGCGGCGGACGGGUGAGUAACACGUGGAUAACCUACCUAUAAGACUGGGAUAACUUCGGGAAACCGGAGCUAAUACCGGAUAAUAUUUUGAACCGCAUGGUUCAAAAGUGAAAGACGGUCUUGCUGUCACUUAUAGAUGGAUCCGCGCUGCAUUAGCUAGUUGGUAAGGUAACGGCUUACCAAGGCAACGAUGCAUAGACGACCUGAGAGGGUGAUCGGCCACACUGGAACUGAGACACGGUCCAGACUCCUACGGGAGGCAGCAGUAGGGAAUCUUCCGCAAUGGGCGAAAGCCUGACGGAGCAACGCCGCGUGAGUGAUGAAGGUCUUCGGAUCGUAAAACUCUGUUAUUAGGGAAGAACAUAUGUGUAAGUAACUGUGCACAUCUUGACGGUACCUAAUCAGAAAGCCACGGCUAACUACGUG
RNAcentral lists this ribosomal RNA (497 nucleotides) under uncultured bacterium. Its description in RNAcentral is "partial 16S ribosomal RNA". It matches the Rfam family "Bacterial small subunit ribosomal RNA", at positions 28 to 507 of the family's 1533-position model. The record is from RNAcentral.